GACGAACGCUGGCGGCGUGCUUAACACAUGCAAGUCGAACGGAAAGGCCCUGCUUUUGUGGGGUGCUCGAGUGGCGAACGGGUGAGUAACACGUGAGUAACCUGCCCUUGACUUUGGGAUAACUUCAGGAAACUGGGGCUAAUACCGGAUAGGAGCUCCUGCUGCAUGGUGGGGGUUGGAAAGUUUCGGCGGUUGGGGAUGGACUCGCGGCUUAUCAGCUUGUUGGUGGGGUAGUGGCUUACCAAGGCUUUGACGGGUAGCCGGCCUGAGAGGGUGACCGGCAAGAUGGGGAGUGAGAUAGGCCCCAGACCCCUGCGGGGGGCAGAGGGGGGAAAUAUGGAACAAGGGGGGGAAGCGGGAGGCAGAAACCCCGGGUGCGGGAGGACGGCUUGGGGGUUGAAAACCGUUUUCGCGUGUGAGGAAGGGGGAGGGAGGGUAAGGGAUAAAGAAGCACCGGCUAACUAGGUG
This 468-nucleotide ribosomal RNA is filed under the name uncultured bacterium. RNAcentral's name for it is "partial 16S ribosomal RNA". It matches the Rfam family "Bacterial small subunit ribosomal RNA", at positions 28 to 507 of the family's 1533-position model. The record is from RNAcentral.